CUUUUGUUGCUUUGAAUAGAAUAUACACUGCACUGUGCAUCUAAUGGUUUCCUGUGGCAUGCCUCCCAGAUGCUAGGCACUGUGCUAGAGCAUAAGGGAAAAAAAACCCCACAAAAAACCCAGAGAAGAACUCAGCACUUUGGAGCAACUGAAAGCAGCUUUGAAUUACAGGGAAGUCUAGAACAGAGAGUGCGAGUGCGCAGCUGUGAACUGAAAAGACUAGCCCUGAGCUAACAUCUGCCACCAAUUCUCCUCUUUUUGCUGAAGAAGACUGGCCCUGAGCUAACAUCCAUGCCCAACUUCCUCUACCUUAUAUGUGGGACGCCUACCACAGCAUGGCUUGCCAAGUGGUGCCGUGUCCGCACCCGGGGUCCGCACCUGGGAUCCGAACCGGCGAACCCCGGGCUGCCGAAGUGGAACAUGAGAACUUAACUGCUGCACCACUGGGCCAGCC
This 454-nucleotide long non-coding RNA is filed under the name Equus caballus (horse). RNAcentral describes it as "lncRNA (ENSECAG00000045230.1)". The record is from RNAcentral. Lineage: Eukaryota; Metazoa; Chordata; Mammalia; Perissodactyla; Equidae.